RNAcentral lists this ribosomal RNA (697 nucleotides) under uncultured bacterium. Its description in RNAcentral is "bacterial SSU rRNA". It matches the Rfam family "Bacterial small subunit ribosomal RNA", at positions 140 to 851 of the family's 1533-position model. The record is from RNAcentral.
GGGAUAACAUUUGGAAACAGAUGCUAAUACCGCAUAAGAUUACAGUACCGCAUGAUACAGUGAUCAAAGGAGCAAUCCGCUGAAAGAUGGGCUCGCGUCCGAUUAGAUAGUUGGUGAGGUAACGGCUCACCAAGUCGACGAUCGGUAGCCGGACUGAGAGGUUGAACGGCCACAUUGGGACUGAGACACGGCCCAGACUCCUACGGGAGGCAGCAGUGGGGAAUAUUGCACAAUGGGCGAAAGCCUGAUGCAGCAACGCCGCGUGAGGGAAGACGGUUUUCGGAUUGUAAACCUCUGUUUUCGGUGACGAAUAAAUGACGGUAACCGAGUAGGAAGCCACGGCUAACUACGUGCCAGCAGCCGCGGUAAUACGUAGGUGGCAAGCGUUAUCCGGAAUUACUGGGUGUAAAGGGAGCGCAGGCGGGAUAGCAAGUCAGUUGUGAAAACUAUGGGCUCAACCCAUAGAUUGCAGUUGAAACUGUUAUUCUUGAGUGGAGUAGAGGCAAGCGGAAUUCCGAGUGUAGCGGUGAAAUGCGUAGAUAUUCGGAGGAACACCAGUGGCGAAGGCGGCUUGCUGGGCUCUAACUGACGCUGAGGCUCGAAAGUGUGGGGAGCAAACAGGAUUAGAUACCCUGGUAGUCCACACUGUAAACGAUGAAUGGUAGGUGUGGGGGGUCUGACCCCCUCCGUGCCGGAG